RNAcentral lists this ribosomal RNA (253 nucleotides) under uncultured bacterium. RNAcentral's name for it is "partial 16S ribosomal RNA". It matches the Rfam family "Bacterial small subunit ribosomal RNA", at positions 524 to 776 of the family's 1533-position model. The record is from RNAcentral.
UACGGAGGGGGCAAGCGUUAUUCGGAAUUACUGGGCGUAAAGCGCACGUAGGCGGCAAUCCAAGUCAAAGGUGAAAGCCCUCGGCUCAACCGAGGAACUGCCUUUGAAACUGUAUUGCUUGAGUCCGGGAGGGGGGAGCGGAAUUCCCAGUGUAGCGGUGAAAUGCGUAGAUACUGGGAGGAACACCGGUGGCGAAGGCGGCUCCCGGGACCGGUAAUGACGCUGAGGUGCGAAAGCGUGGGUAGCAAACAGG